AGAUGCAAAAGGACAUAUAAUGAAUGGAUCCACUUACCUGAGAUAUCCAGAGAAGUCUAAUUCAAAGUGGCAGGAAGAGAUGGUUGUUGGUCUCUGGAGGGAGGAAAAACAGGGAGUUUCUGUUUAGCGGCUACAGAGUUUCAGCUGGGGAAGACAAAAUAAUUCUGGAGAUGGAUGGUGGUGAUGGUUAUACAACAGUGCUGAAUGCAUGAACACACUGAAGAAGCUGAUAAGCAACUGACUUCCAUUUAGUUAUGUUAAGCAAGGUGGAAGGGAAGAAAUCCGCUUGGUGCCAUCAUGCUGGAGGUUUGCGGACAAAUCUCAGCUUAGAACCCAGGUGAACUGGCUCCCGACCCCAUACAGUGCCCUAGAGGCACUGUCAUUCCCCAGAGAGGAGCAGGUAGACGUCUGGGACAUGUCCAAGCUUUGGGCUCCUGAUGUAGGCCUUGGGAGAAGACACCUCUAAGGCGCCUUAGCUAGGCCUCUCCUCCCCUGACUGGAGCGUCUGAACUUACUAUGGGCAUUGAAAGUUACCAUUCCGCGGCCAAAAAGGGAUAAACUCAACUGGCUGUGAUUCAGGACUGAAAAAGGAAAGCUUCAUCUUCACCUGCGAGCAUCCUUUCACCUUCCUCCUCCACCCAGGAAAUGCAACGAACGCCGUCUCUGGGGUCGCACAGAGUCGGACACGACUGAAGCGACUUAGCAGCAGCAGCAACUGGGUCAGAGGUUUCUUUCCUCCCCACGCCCAUCCCACCUCCUAAUGCAGUGCAGGCGUGGAAGCGGUCCCUCCAGGCACUGAGAGGAGGGGUGAGGACAACAACAUUCCUGAGGAAUUCAAGCUCUUAAAUCUACUUCUGUUCAUUUGCCAGUUUUUGGUUAUAGUAGGGGAUCAGCAAACUUUUCCUGCAAAGUGUCAGAUAGUAAAUAUUUUAGGGUUAGGAGGCUGUAGGGUCUCUCUCGCAAUUAUUCAGCAUUGCUCCUAUAGCACAAAAUGGGCCUAGAGACACAUACAUGGAUAUACUUGUGUUCCAAUAAAACUUUAAUGGUGGAGAUUAAAAUUUGAAUUGUAUAUAAUUUUAACGUGUCUCAAAAUAUUAUUUAAAAUUUUUUUCAACCACUUGAAAAAAAAAUUAUUAGCUUGUGGGCCUCACCAUAUUUGGCCUAUAGUACUUCAUUUGCUCACCCCAGGCCUAAAUACUUUUAAUCUUCCUACUUUAAAAAAUUAAUCUAGCUCACUUGUUCUUGAAGGGAAAGGACUUAGGGGUAAUUUAUUCAAUGAAGUUCAGCAGAACGUGGUGGUUAAGAGCAUAGACUCCAGGAACAGAAUGGUUGGGUUUAAACACCAGCUUCUACCACUCACAAGCUGUUACGGAAUUACUUACACUCUCUAAACCUGUGUCUCCUCAUUUACAAAUUGAAGCUGACAUCAAUAGAACCCAACUAGCAAGGUUGUUCGGAGAAGGCAAUGACACCCCACUCCAGUACUCUUGCCUGGAAAAUCCCAUGGAUGGAGAAGCGACCAUGGGGUCGCUAAGAGUUGGACACGACUGAGCGACUUCACUUUCACUUUUCACUUUCAUGCAUUGGAGAAGGAAAUGGCAACCCACUCCAGU
Bos taurus (domestic cattle) is the source of this 1613-nucleotide long non-coding RNA. NCBI's taxonomy places the organism in Eukaryota, Metazoa, Chordata, Mammalia, Artiodactyla, Bovidae. The record is from Ensembl.